GCUCCAGACUCCUACGGGAGGCAGCAGUGGGGGAUAUUGCACAAUGGGGGAAACCCUGAUGCAGCGACGCCGCGUGUGGGAAGACGGUCUUCUGGAUUGUAAACCACUGUCCCCAGGGACGAAAAUGACGGUACCUGGGGAGGAAGCUCCGGCUAACUACGUGCCAGCAGCCGCGGUAAUACGUAGGGGGCGAGCGCUAUCCGGAUUUACUGGGUGUAAAGGGAGCGUAGACGGCCAUGCAAGCCUGAUGUGAAAGGUGUGGGCACAACCCGCACACUGCAUUGGGAACUGUAUGGCUAGAGUGUCGGAGGGGCAGGCGGAAUUCCUGGUGUAGCGGUGAAAUGCGUAGAUAUCAGGAGGAACACCGGUGGCGAAGGCGGCCUGCUGGACGACGACUGACGUUGAGGCUCGAGAGCGUGGGGAGCGAACAGGAUUAGAUACCCGAGUAC
This 449-nucleotide ribosomal RNA is filed under the name uncultured bacterium. Its description in RNAcentral is "partial 16S ribosomal RNA". It matches the Rfam family "Bacterial small subunit ribosomal RNA", at positions 328 to 793 of the family's 1533-position model. The record is from RNAcentral.